This 531-nucleotide ribosomal RNA is filed under the name Ramaria pinicola. Its description in RNAcentral is "partial 12S small subunit ribosomal RNA". It matches the Rfam family "Bacterial small subunit ribosomal RNA", at positions 368 to 962 of the family's 1533-position model. Lineage: Eukaryota; Fungi; Basidiomycota; Agaricomycetes; Gomphales; Gomphaceae. The record is from RNAcentral.
UCAAUGCUCGCAAGAGUGAACUAGCUAACUGGAAUCACGAGUGUGUCACUUGUGAUAACGUAAAGGAAAAUUAUGAUAUCACUUUACUAUUAGUGUUGUCAAAGUCUGGUGCCAGAAGACUCGGUAAGGCCAGAGACGCAAGCGUUAGUCUCUUGAUCAGGCGUAAGGGUUUGUAGGCUGCUUUAAGCAUGAAAAUAAUUAAAGCUAGAAUCAAAUAGAGGUCACCGUCAGAGAAUGCUUAGAGUAGGGUUGAUAUCUGUAAAUACUAAGUAGAAUACUAACUAGCGAAGGCUCUUUUCCAAAUAAUGAUUGACGCUGAGAAACGAAGGGGAGGAUAGACAAUAGGAUUAGAUACCCUGGCAUCCCUCUCUGUCAACGAUGAAUGGUAGUUGCUAGUUCUUAGAAGCUAGUGGCGAUGUUAACACGUUAACCAUUCCGCCUUGUGAGUACAAUUGCAAAGUUGAAAACAAAAAAAUUAGUCGGUUUCGGAGCAAACGAAGUGAAGCAUGUUAUUUAAUUCCGAUAAUCCGC